CCCCUCCNGUCACGUGCGCCAGCCCCACCAAUGGGCGGCGGCGCUCUCCCCGCCGGCCCCCACCCCUCCAACGGCCGCCGGCGCGGGCGCGCGGGGCCUGGCGGGAGCGGCGCGCCGCUACUUAAGGCGCCGCGAGGGGUCACGCGGCCUUUCUGCGCUGGCGCUGCGGUAAGGCGGCAACGGCCGGCGGGGGCACCGCGGCGGGCGGGGGGAGCGGGGAGCCGCGCGGACCUUCCCUUCACAUCUUGCCCUCUCGGAGCCUGGCGGUGCCCGAGCAGUCAACACAGGGGGAUAGAGCACCUUCCCUCACAAAAACCCAGUGCGGAGCCGUCCCUCCGCCCUGCAUCCUGUCGUGAGGCACAAGCGGGCCCUCCCCCGCUCCCUCCCCUCGCCCUCCGCGACCGCUCCGCGCUGACCCCCCUCUCCGUCCGCAGGCCGCGGUGCGGGCCGCGCCGCCCCCGCCAUGGCGGCAGGGAGCGCCCCAGGUGCGCCGGGCCCCGCGCGGGGAGGCUGCAGGAGUCGCAGCAACAUAAUAUUUAA
RNAcentral lists this long non-coding RNA (540 nucleotides) under Apteryx owenii (little spotted kiwi). Its description in RNAcentral is "lncRNA (ENSAOWG00000008774.1)". Lineage: Eukaryota; Metazoa; Chordata; Aves; Apterygiformes; Apterygidae. The record is from RNAcentral.